Molecule: ribosomal RNA, 2188 nt
Filed under: Mucroberotha vesicaria
Lineage: Eukaryota; Metazoa; Arthropoda; Insecta; Neuroptera; Berothidae
Description: SSU rRNA
Rfam family: Eukaryotic small subunit ribosomal RNA
Source: RNAcentral
UCUGGUUGAUCCUGCCAGUAGUCAUAUGCUUGUCUCAAAGAUUAAGCCAUGCAUGUCUCAGUACAUACCAAAAUAAGGUGAAACCGCGAAAGGCUCAUUAUAUCAGUUAUGGUUCCUUAGAUCGUACACACAUUUACUUGGAUAACUGUGGUAAUUCUAGAGCUAAUACAUGCAAACAGAGUCCCGACCAGAGAUGGAAGGGAUGCUUUUAUUAGAUCAAAACCAAUCGGUGUUGCAUUUUAUUUAUUUACAUAGAUAUUAUUGUAGCAUCGUUUCUUUUGGUGACUCUGAAUAACUUUAAGCUGAUCGCACGGUCUCGUACCGGCGACGCAUCUUUCAAAUGUCUGCCUUAUCAACUUUCGAUGGUAGGUUCUGCGCCUACCAUGGUUGUAACGGGUAACGGGGAAUCAGGGUUCGAUUCCGGAGAGGGAGCCUGAGAAACGGCUACCACAUCCAAGGAAGGCAGCAGGCGCGCAAAUUACCCACUCCCGGCACGGGGAGGUAGUGACGAAAAAUAACGAUACGGGACUCAUCCGAGGCCCCGUAAUCGGAAUGAGUACACUUUAAAUCCUUUAACAAUUAACAAUUGGAGGGCAAGUCUGGUGCCAGCAGCCGCGGUAAUUCCAGCUCCAAUAGCGUAUAUUAAAGUUGUUGCGGUUAAAAAGCUCGUAGUCGAAUUUGUGCCCCACACUGUCGGUUCACCGCUCGCGGUGUUCAACUGGCAUGUUAUGUGGGGCGUCCUGCCGGUGGAGUGUACAAAUUAUUGUUAUUAUCCUAUAUAUGAUUGUAUAUUUUUGUUAGUUAGUAAAUAUUUCAAAAUAUCUUACUGCUGCAUUGUAUAGUAUCAUAUGGGUAACUAUACGUAAUUUGUCGUAAGUGUUUAGCCGUGAAGAACGGCGACAGCCUCCAAUUGCAAUCCCGUCGCGGUGCUCUUAACUGAGUGUCGAGGUGGGCCGGUACGUUUACUUUGAACAAAUUAGAGUGCUUAAAGCAGGCUAAAAUUUCGCCUGAAUAUUGUGUGCAUGGAAUAAUAAAAUAGGAUCUCGGUUCUAUUUUGUUGGUUUUCGGAACUCCGAGAUAAUGAUUAAUACGGACAGAUGGGGGCAUUCGUAUUGCGACGUUAGAGGUGAAAUUCUUGGAUCGUCGCAAGACGGACAGAAGCGAAAGCAUUUGCCAAAAAUGUUUUGAUUGAUCAAGAACGAAAGUUAGAGGUUCGAAGGCGAUCAGAUACCGCCCUAGUUCUAACCAUAAACGAUGCCAGCUAGCGAUCCGCCGAAGUUCCUCCGAUGACUCGGCGGGCAGCUUCCGGGAAACCAAAGCUUUUGGGUUCCGGGGGAAGUAUGGUUGCAAAGCUGAAACUUAAAGGAAUUGACGGAAGGGCACCACCAGGAGUGGAGCCUGCGGCUUAAUUUGACUCAACACGGGAAACCUCACCAGGCCCAGACACCGUUAGGAUUGACAGAUUGAGAGCUCUUUCUUGAUUCGGUGGGUGGUGGUGCAUGGCCGUUCUUAGUUGGUGGAGCGAUUUGUCUGGUUAAUUCCGAUAACGAACGAGACUCUAGCCUGCUAAAUAGACGUACUUUACCGGCAUCUCAAGGCCCAUCGGCUGCUAGUUUCCGAUUCGUUGUUACAUGUAUUCGGUAUUAUUAUUGUCCACUUAAUAUAUUUGAAGGUAUAUUGAUUUCGGUUUAUAUACUGGAUGUGUAUUUUGUGUUUAUAAUUUAUCGUUGCAUGUUAGAAACGGGCGGUUCUACAGUUUUUUGGUGUGGUUUUUACUGCCGGCGUACAUAUAUAUCUUCUUAGAGGGACAGGCGGCUUCUAGCCGCACGAGAUUGAGCAAUAACAGGUCUGUGAUGCCCUUAGAUGUUCUGGGCCGCACGCGCGCUACACUGAAGGAAUCAGCGUGUCCUCCCUGGCCGAAAGGUCCGGGUAACCCGCUGAACCUCCUUCGUGCUAGGGAUUGGGGCUUGCAAUUGUUCCCCAUGAACGAGGAAUUCCCAGUAAGCGCGAGUCAUAAGCUCGCGUUGAUUACGUCCCUGCCCUUUGUACACACCGCCCGUCGCUACUACCGAUUGAAUGAUUUAGUGAGGUCUUCGGACUGGUACGCGGCAAUGUUUCUGACAUUACCGAUGUUGCUGGGAAGAUGACCAAACUUGAUCAUUUAGAGGAAGUAAAAGUCGUAACAAGG